Homo sapiens (human) is the source of this 3168-nucleotide long non-coding RNA. Ensembl annotates it as testis expressed transcript, Y-linked 2. Its record names the gene TTTY2. Lineage: Eukaryota; Metazoa; Chordata; Mammalia; Primates; Hominidae. The record is from Ensembl.
AGGCUUGCCAUCACCACAGAUGGCCUCUGAGACACUGUUUGAACCACAUCUGCACCUGUGAGAGGCCAGUUUGAGGUAUGAGAACACUGUUUCAAUUUGGACUUGCCUUUGUCUUGGUUCCUGCUUUUCCCAGAUAGCACCUACCCAACCCAGGAUGAAUGAGUGCAGAGAGGUCAAGUGCCAGGCCAUCUUUUGCUGACACCCUUUUCUGGUAUUUCAGGUAUAAGUCCAUCAUCCAAAGACUGCUCAACAUCUCACCAGAAUAUAUUUCAAUCCUCAUGGGGCAUGAUUCUUUCACAAAACCCCUUUCAGGAAUGGAGUCAGAAGAGUAGUUUCCAGAGACAACCUCACAGUCUUGAAACGGCUCUGCCUCCCAUGUGAUCUGACCAUGGAGAUGGCAUAUAAGGGCCCUAAGUUUGAGACUUUUAGGGUACUGCAAUGCGUUAUCACAGGCAGCCUUUAUCCUGAUACCAAGCCAGCUCUGCCUGUACCAUUUUCCUCUGCUUAGGCAGGCUGACAGCCCUGACACCCUGGUGCUCCAGUUUGAGUCACUAUAUGUGGAUGUGCUAGUCUUAGGGCAAUGGACCUGAGCUGUGAGCUGUAGCUAGUGUCACAAUGAAUGCCAGCUUUGCUAGUAACAAUUCCCUUUGGCUUGGUAGAGAAGGAGACCUCUGUGGAGGUACAAUGGUGGUGCACUGUCACCUGUCUUCUCUGUGGGAUCCAUGGGACAGUUCCAUGAUCCUAGGAGAGGGUAGAUGUGAGCCAGCCUGAAGAAAUGUCAAGCAGAGCCCCAGGAAUGAAGCACAAAAUCACUACAGAUCCAAAAGGAUCUGCAGAAUUUGUCAGGCCUGCCUAGACAUUGUAGGGGUUAGUCUUAUUGAAAUGUGUCCCACUGUAAUUUCCAACUUCAGCCUUCCUGUGUUCCCAGCAGUUUCUCUCUCCCAGGUGGGGCUUUCUGCAGAAUGACACAGCCUCAGAAGCUACUGGGCUGUGUGUUACUGUGGGAGUGUUGCGAGUGUUGGAUGUCAGCAUGUGUGUGUGGCUUUGUGUGUUUGUGUAUGUGUCUGUGUGUGUGUAUGUAAAUGAAUUCUGUGGAUCAGGAAUCAGCAAUGACUAGUUAAGCUGUCUGUGACCAGCCGGGUUCCCCAUCGUCUGCCCCUGCCAAAAAAACAGGUACUCUUCUACAAAGAAGAGGAGAGCACCACACCCAAGAACAGACAUCUCCCAGUGUUGCAUUAUAAAGCAGCCAACCCACAGACACUAGCACUCUGGUCUGCAUAGCCCCUUUAAUUUACCUAGAAUUCAGUUCCCAGCCAAGUAGGUGCUUCAUGUCCUGAGGGUGCAAUCCUCCAUCAUCUUGAGAUUUCAUGCUGGUACAGAGAGUGUGACAGCAAUAAGGUCAGAUAGGGGUGAGUAUACAACCUGGUGAAGGGUGGAUGGGGUCCCGUACCUUCACCAGCAAAAAGGGUGAAAAUAGAUGACACAGAAUGUGCUUCCAACUCCAUCCCCACAUUCCCAUAAUUGCAAAAUCAGUCAACAACAUGGCCUGGUGUUUAGGUGGGAGUACUCCAACCUGCAGGAAAAAUUUGGAGUGCAAAUUGUGGCCAAUCUGGAAAACUCCUGGUUUGAGGGUUUUAAUACCUGUAGUCAAAUGGAAGUGGAAUAGAUUGAUGCUGGGUGGGUUGUGGCCUCCACAUUUGUGUCCUCUUUUACUGACUUCCAUUGUCCUCAUUGGUGUAGGGCUUCCUGGAUCUGGCUCAACAUCUUCCACACUAAACUCUUCCCUGUUCACAGAAGACCAUCAUAAAAAUGCAUUGUAGAGGCCCUGCAAGGACCAGGAUGAAGGGAGACAGUGAGGUCAAGAGCCCAGCCAUCUUUCACUGACACCCACUUCUGGGUUCUCAGGCUGGCUGACAGGUCUGACAGCCCAUCACGAAAGCCUGCAUACUCUUAGACACAAGGACUGAGCUAUGGGCUCCAGCUAGCAUCACAAUGAAGGCCACCAUUGCCUAGGGAUAAGUCCCUGUGACUUUGUGGAUAAGAACUCCGUGGAGCCAAUCCAAGGAGAGACACUAUCAUUCAUCUCUACCGGGCCUAUUAAAUUUACCUCGAAUUUGAUUCCCAGAGGAGUUGGUGCUUCACAUCAUCAGGGGGAACUUCUCCAUUGUCUUGGGAUUUCAGUCUGGGAUAGAGACUUUGAACAGCAAUAAGUUUCCUUGGUCUGGCUCAACGUCUUCUAAACUCAACAUUCCCCAGUUCAUGGAAAAUGAUCCUCAUGGGAUUCUAUUGUAAAAGCUGCAUGAUUCCUGGAGAAUGUUUUAUUGUCCUGAAGUCAACCCAAAAAUCAACACUACCAGUCAUGUUGCAGAGCUCCUUGAAUUAACCUUGAAUUCAGUUUCCAGCUGAGCAGCUGCUUCACGUUGUGAGGGGGCAAUCCUCCAUCAUCCUGGGAUUUCAUUCUGGGACACAGAGUUUGAGCAGCAAUAAGGCUGGGUCCACAUUGCCCCUCAACAGCAUUAGUGGACAUGAUUGUCAGACUUGCAAUUUCCGCAGACACCUUCUGUGAACAUUUUUCAACAUCAUCUACAUGAGUGAGAGACCCGUUCGACAUGUAAGAAUACUGCUUGACUUUGGACCUGCCUUUGUCGUGGUUCCUGCCUUUCUCAUAGAUCCCCUGCCAGGCCCAGGAUGAUAGGAGGCAAUGAAGUCAAGGGCCGAGCCCCAUUCAUUGAAAGCUGACUCUGGGGUCUCGGGUAUAAUUCCAUCACAUAAAAUCCCCUCAACAACUCACCAGACUAUAUUCCAAUCUCCAUGGAACCUGAUUCUUGCACACAGCCUCUUUCAGGAAUGGAGUCAGAAGAGCAGUCUUCAGAGACCACCUCAGUUUGGAAAAGCCUCCUCCUUCAGUGGUUCCCAGCCAUGGAGUCAUCGUGAAGGGGCUCCAUGGUCAAUAAUUUUACGGUACUGCACUUGGUUAUCACAGACAGACUUUUUCAUGAUAGCAUGCCAUCUCUGUCUAUAUCAUUUUCCUCUGCUUAGGCAGGCUGACAACUCUGACAGCCAGGGGCCCGAAUCUACCUGGCAAAUGUGCAUGCUCUACUCUCAGUGCAAAAGGCCUGUUUGGGAGUUCUGACUAGUGUCACAAUAAAUGCCGCCAUUGCCUAGUGA